AGAGUUUGAUCCUGGCUCAGAACGAACGCUGGCGGCGCGCCUAAUACAUGCAAGUCGAGCGAGAAGACGUAGCAAUACGUUUGUAAAGCGGCGAACGGGUGAGGAAUACAUGGGUAACCUACCCUAGAGUGGGGAAUAACUAGCCGAAAGGUUAGCUAAUACCGCGUACGCUUCUUGGACUUCGGUUCAAGGAGGAAAGCGAUACCGAGGGUAUCGCGCUCUUGGAUGGGCUCAUGUCCUAUCAGCUUGUUGGUGAGGUAACGGCUCACCAAGGCUUCGACGGGUAGCUGGUCUGAGAGGACGAUCAGCCACACUGGCACUGCGACACGGGCCAGACUCCUACGGGAGGCAGCAGUAAGGAAUAUUGCGCAAUGGGCGAAAGCCUGACGCAGCGACGCCGCGUGGGGGAUGAAGGUCUUCGGAUUGUAAACCCCUUUCGGGAGGGAAGAUGGAAUGGGGUAACCCAUUCGACGGUACCUCCAGAAGCAGCCACGGCUAACUUCGUGCCAGCAGCCGCGGUA
This 521-nucleotide ribosomal RNA is filed under the name uncultured Nitrospira sp. RNAcentral's name for it is "bacterial SSU rRNA". It matches the Rfam family "Bacterial small subunit ribosomal RNA", at positions 8 to 522 of the family's 1533-position model. Lineage: Bacteria; Pseudomonadati; Nitrospirota; Nitrospiria; Nitrospirales; Nitrospiraceae. The record is from RNAcentral.